AUCGCUAUAAUCAACGAUUAGGGCUGAAAAAUUGCUAAAAUCGCUAAUGAAAGUCGCUACAAUUGCUACAAACGAUUAAAUCUUGUGGAGUUGAUCUGGUAGUGAGCUACCUGUGGUGAGCUCUGUGGGAUUUACUGGUGCCGCUUUGAAAAUCGAUUUGUGUUGGAAAGUCAGAUUGAGUUUGCACUUCAAUUUCUCUUAAAUUUUCACUUCAAUUGCUUCAAUUUGGGAAUUUUAAGGUUGCUAGCUUUAGUGGCUCAAACAUUGAUUUGUCUGCCUGGGAGGACAAAAAGAACCCUAUUGAAUCUCGCUUUCUUGCUCAGAAUGAGUUUGAAAGAAAGAAACAAGAAAUAUUAGUUGCUCAAAGUGCAUCAAUUAUGGAAGGAGGAUGAGAAAGAAAUUACACUUCUUGAUGAAGCAUGUAUACAAGAAAUCAUCUUCAAAUGAUAAACGCCCAUCUCAAGAAGACAACCAAGCUUAUGAGGAUGAAAGUGAUGCUAAAUCUGACGACGUGAAUGAAAUUGAUAAUUCUGAUAACGUGAAUGAAAGUGAUCUGAUCCUGAUGGUUGGUAGUUUUAUUGAGGAUUCAAGUUUAAAAUAUUUUAUUUUGGACUAUUUAAAAAUCAUACAUUAAUAAUUGAUGUGUAUGUUUUGAAUUAUGUUUUUUUUGUUAGCUAUAAGGGUUUACAUUAGAUUUGUAUUGAAUGAUGUUUUUGAGAAUUAUUGAA
Capsicum annuum is the source of this 728-nucleotide long non-coding RNA. RefSeq lists it as uncharacterized. The record is from RefSeq and is a predicted model, not a curated record. The transcript has 3 exons. Lineage: Eukaryota; Viridiplantae; Streptophyta; Magnoliopsida; Solanales; Solanaceae.